UUAAGCAUAUCAAUAAGCGGAGGAAAAGAAACCAACAGGGAUUGCCCUAGUAACGGCGAGUGAAGCGGCAACAGCUCAAAUUGAAAUCUGGCUCUUUAGAGUCCGAGUUGUAAUUUGCAGAGGGCGCUUUGGCUUUGGCAGCGGUCCAAGUUCCUUGGAACAGGACGUCACAGAGGGUGAGAAUCCCGUACGUGGUCGCUGGCUAUUGCCGUGUAAAGCCCCUUCGACGAGUCGAGUUGUUUGGGAAUGCAGCUCUAAAUGGGAGGUACAUUUCUUCUAAAGCUAAAUAUUGGCCAGAGACCGAUAGCGCACAAGUAGAGUGAUCGAAAGAUGAAAAGCACUUUGGAAAGAGAGUCAAACAGCACGUGAAAUUGUUGAAAGGGAAGCGCUUGCAGCCAGACUUGCUUACAGUUGCUCAUCCGGGCUUUUGCCCGGUGCACUCUUCUGUAGGCAGGCCAGCAUCAGUUUGGGCGGUAGGAUAAAGGUCUCUGUCACGUACCUCCUUUCGGGGAGGCCUUAUAGGGGAGACGACAUACUACCAGCCUGGACUGAGGUCCGCGCAUCUGCUAGGAUGCUGGCGUAAUGGCUGUAAGCGGCCCGUCUUGAAACACGGACCAAGGAGUCUAACAUCUAUGCGAGUGUUUGGGUGUCAAGCCCGAGCGCGUAAUGAAAGUGAACGGAGGUGGGAACCCGCAAGGGUGCACCAUCGACCGAUCCUGAUGUCUUCGGAAGGAUUUGAGUAAGAGCAUGGCUGUUGGGACCCGAAAGAUGGUGAACUAUGCUUGAAUAGGGUGAAGCCAGAGGAAACUCUGGUGGAGGCUCGCAGCGGUUCUGACGUGCAAAUCGAUCGUCAAAUUUGGGCAUAGGGCGAAAG
Molecule: ribosomal RNA, 874 nt
Filed under: Alternaria gypsophilae
Lineage: Eukaryota; Fungi; Ascomycota; Dothideomycetes; Pleosporales; Pleosporaceae
Description: LSU rRNA
Rfam family: Eukaryotic large subunit ribosomal RNA
Source: RNAcentral